RNAcentral lists this ribosomal RNA (440 nucleotides) under Neofusicoccum ribis. RNAcentral's name for it is "eukaryotic LSU rRNA". The stretch from base 133 to 286 matches the Rfam family "5.8S ribosomal RNA". The record is from RNAcentral. Lineage: Eukaryota; Fungi; Ascomycota; Dothideomycetes; Botryosphaeriales; Botryosphaeriaceae.
ACCUCUGUUGCUUUGGCGGGCCGCGGUCCUCCGCACCGGCGCCCUUCGGGGGGGNCUGGCCAGCGCCCGCCAGAGGACCAUAAAACUCCAGUCAGUGAACUUCGCAGUCUGAAAAACAAGUUAAUAAACUAAAACUUUCAACAACGGAUCUCUUGGUUCUGGCAUCGAUGAAGAACGCAGCGAAAUGCGAUAAGUAAUGUGAAUUGCAGAAUUCAGUGAAUCAUCGAAUCUUUGAACGCACAUUGCGCCCCUUGGUAUUCCGAGGGGCAUGCCUGUUCGAGCGUCAUUUCAACCCUCAAGCUCUGCUUGGUAUUGGGCUCCGUCCUCCACGGACGCGCCUUAAAGACCUCGGCGGUGGCGUCUUGCCUCAAGCGUAGUAGAAAACACCUCGCUUUGGAGCGCACGGCGUCGCCCGCCGGACGAACCUUUGAAUUAUUUCU